RNAcentral lists this unclassified non-coding RNA (292 nucleotides) under Hevea brasiliensis (rubber tree). The record is from RNAcentral. Lineage: Eukaryota; Viridiplantae; Streptophyta; Magnoliopsida; Malpighiales; Euphorbiaceae.
GCCAAAUCCUAAGUCCCAUAUCCAGGAGAAUUGGAGGGUCCUUGAUUUUUUCUCUCAUCAUCCCGAAAGCCUGCACAUGUUCACUUUCCUCUUCGACGAUAUUGGUAUUCCACAAGAUUACAGGCAUAUGGACGGGUCUGGUGUCCACACAUUCACAUUGAUCAACAGGGCUGGAAAAUCAACUUAUGUGAAGUUCCACUGGAAGCCCACAUGUGGUGUCAAGUCUUUGUUGGAAGAAGAGGCAAUCCGAGUCGGAGGAGCAAAUCACAGCCAUGCUACUCAGGACCUCUAU